RNAcentral lists this ribosomal RNA (1083 nucleotides) under Arthrobacter pascens. RNAcentral describes it as "bacterial SSU rRNA". It matches the Rfam family "Bacterial small subunit ribosomal RNA", at positions 231 to 1320 of the family's 1533-position model. Lineage: Bacteria; Bacillati; Actinomycetota; Actinomycetes; Micrococcales; Micrococcaceae. The record is from RNAcentral.
UCUCGGCCUAUCAGCUUGUUGGUGAGGUAAUGGCUUACCAAGGCGACGACGGGUAGCCGGCCUGAGAGGGUGACCGGCCACACUGGGACUGAGACACGGCCCAGACUCCUACGGGAGGCAGCAGUGGGGAAUAUUGCACAAUGGGCGCAAGCCUGAUGCAGCGACGCCGCGUGAGGGAUGACGGCCUUCGGGUUGUAAACCUCUUUCAGUAGGGAAGAAGCCGCAAGGUGACGGUACCUGCAGAAGAAGCGCCGGGCUAACUACGUGCCAGCAGCCGCGGUAAUACGUAGGGCGCAAGCGUUUUCCGGGAAUUAUUGGGCGAAAAGAGCUCGUAGGCGGUUUGUCGCGUCUGCCGUGAAAGUCCGGGGCUCAACUCCGGAUCUGCGGUGGGUACGGGCAGACUAGAGUGAUGUAGGGGAGACUGGAAUUCCUGGUGUAGCGGUGAAAUGCGCAGAUAUCAGGAGGAACACCGAUGGCGAAGGCAGGUCUCUGGGCAUUAACUGACGCUGAGGAGCGAAAGCAUGGGGAGCGAACAGGAUUAGAUACCCUGGUAGUCCAUGCCGUAAACGUUGGGCACUAGGUGUGGGGGACAUUCCACGUUUUCCGCGCCGUAGCUAACGCAUUAAGUGCCCCGCCUGGGGAGUACGGCCGCAAGGCUAAAACUCAAAGGAAUUGACGGGGGCCCGCACAAGCGGCGGAGCAUGCGGAUUAAUUCGAUGCAACGCGAAGAACCUUACCAAGGCUUGACAUGAACCGGACCGCCGCAGAAAUGUGGUUUCCCCUUUGGGGCUGGUUUACAGGUGGUGCAUGGUUGUCGUCAGCUCGUGUCGUGAGAUGUUGGGUUAAGUCCCGCAACGAGCGCAACCCUCGUUCUAUGUUGCCAGCACGUGAUGGUGGGGACUCAUAGGAGACUGCCGGGGUCAACUCGGAGGAAGGUGGGGACGACGUCAAAUCAUCAUGCCCCUUAUGUCUUGGGCUUCACGCAUGCUACAAUGGCCGGUACAAAGGGUUGCGAUACUGUGAGGUGGAGCUAAUCCCAAAAAGCCGGUCUCAGUUCGGAUUGGGGUAUGCAACUCGACCUUA